GACUCAAUUUUUAGCGUCUCGCCAAUUGUCUCCAAUGCCGACGUCAACGGUGAGCGGCACUGUCAACGCUGCGGCCGACUGCAUCGUCUCGCGAACGACUUCAGACACUUCAUCGGCCUGAGCUUUCGGCACUUCGAAGAGCAACUCGUCGUGUACCGUCAGGAUGGCGCGCGCGUCGGGGUACUUCUCCAGCGCGGCGUGCACGUUGAUCAUCGCGCGCUUCAUGAUGUCGGCCGCGGUGCCCUGAAUUGGCAUGUUGACGCUCACGCGUUCCGCGGCCGAUCGCAUCUGUCCGUUGCUGCUGUUGAGUUCAGGAACGAGACGGCGGCGCCCGUAAAGCGUUUUCACCACGCCCGAGACGCGGGCGUCGGCCAGGGUGCGGUCGAUGAACGCGCGCACACGCGGAAAGCCGGCGAAGUAG
This 421-nucleotide unclassified non-coding RNA is filed under the name fungal sp. RNAcentral describes it as "partial internal transcribed spacer region". The record is from RNAcentral. Lineage: Eukaryota; Fungi.